AAAUGAGAUUCGAAAACUCGAUUAACUCGAAAAUUUUCGAUUCAAUUCGAUUCGAUCGAAUGCUCACCCCUAGCCAAUAUGACAAUCCUUUCUUUCUCUUUUUCUUUUUUUAGCCAUACACUGUUUGCUUUUUUGCUCUUGCGUGUUUUCUUCUUAUUUGCAGAGGGAUUGAUGUUGAUGGAGUAGGUGGCAGAGUUGGUGGUUGCCAGAGGUGGUGGCAGCAGAAGGGUCAGAAGAUGCGACGGCGGCAGAAGACCUAGGUGGCUAGGGUUUCUUCUUUUUCUUUUUUCUUUUUUUUUGAUUUGGUGUUGGGCUGCUGUAGGGUUUAGUUGGGUAUUGGGCUAGGUUUUGGGCUAUUGUAAUUUCAUUUGGGCUGGGUAAUAGUUUGGGUUUGCUGUUUGGGUUUUGGUAUCUGCUUGUUGGGCCCGGACAAAAAUUAGUUAUUACAAAUGACAUUCGAUGCUUUUGGGGAAUAAUAAGCUAAAUAGACUAGGUUGUAAUAACAUAUUACAAUGAACCAAACAUGUGCAUUGUAGUGGGCCCACUGACUUAGGCCUAAAUGAAU
RNAcentral lists this long non-coding RNA (565 nucleotides) under Gossypium raimondii (Peruvian cotton). RNAcentral describes it as "long non-coding RNA (GRAI_LNC007260)". The record is from RNAcentral. Lineage: Eukaryota; Viridiplantae; Streptophyta; Magnoliopsida; Malvales; Malvaceae.